Molecule: transfer RNA, 72 nt
Filed under: Massariosphaeria phaeospora
Lineage: Eukaryota; Fungi; Ascomycota; Dothideomycetes; Pleosporales
Also listed under: 2 other names
Rfam family: tRNA
About the family: Transfer RNA (tRNA) molecules are approximately 80 nucleotides in length. Their secondary structure includes four short double-helical elements and three loops (D, anti-codon, and T loops). Further hydrogen bonds mediate the characteristic L-shaped molecular structure. tRNAs have two regions of fundamental functional importance: the anti-codon, which is responsible for specific mRNA codon recognition, and the 3' end, to which the tRNAs corresponding amino acid is attached (by aminoacyl-tRNA synthetases). tRNAs cope with the degeneracy of the genetic code in two manners: having more than one tRNA (with a specific anti-codon) for a particular amino acid; and 'wobble' base-pairing, i.e. permitting non-standard base-pairing at the 3rd anti-codon position.
Source: Rfam by way of RNAcentral
AGCUGAGUGGCGCAGCGGAAGCGCGCCGGGCUCAUAACCCGGAGGACAGUGGAUCGAAACCACUCUCAGCUA